RNAcentral lists this transfer RNA (92 nucleotides) under bacterium HR15. RNAcentral's name for it is "tRNA-Lys". The record is from RNAcentral.
GUGGAAGAUACGAUGGAGUCGAUUCUUGAUCUUGCCAAGACGGAGGGCAUGAUUUUCAAGUUCGGCUCCGGUUCCGGUUCGAACCUUUCGCG